Molecule: long non-coding RNA, 618 nt
Organism: Phalaenopsis equestris
Lineage: Eukaryota; Viridiplantae; Streptophyta; Magnoliopsida; Asparagales; Orchidaceae
Exons: 3
Source: RefSeq, a predicted model, not a curated record
UCAUUCGUGCUUGAGGUUGCGAUAGGAUUUACUGUUGCUUUCAGCUUAUUGAAACCUAUUAAAGGAAGACAUUAUUUGCAAGCCAACCUGGACCCAUUAGCAUAUUUUAAUCAUCGGGAGAGAAAACGAGAAUGGCCUGUGCUAUGGAUAUGAAAUGAAGACAUUAAUUGACUGAAUGAUUAAGAUAUGGAAGUUUACUAGUGUAAGCUUCAACACAAAUAGGUUGGAUCUUGUUUCAGAAUAAUCAGUUUUUGAGCAUACAUGUGCCUCUCAACAAUGAUUUCUUCUGUCAGUAAAUAAGAUAAUGCCAAAUGUACCGACGGAUUUUAAGGCUAACCUGGCGGAAGCUAAAAAGCAUUUAGUAACUCACUCUGCGUAUGUAUUCAUUACUUCUGUUUGCAUGCACAGAUUACAAAUAUAUUUGAGCAUUGCCAUUUAAUCUGAAAUCAACUUUUUAAUAUGAGAUUACACAUUUAUAUCUUUAAACUGCUGCCAUUUUAUCUUGUAUAUUUUUAUGUAAUUGGUAUUGGCCUGGAGCGGAGACAAAUAAAUGUGAGAUCUUGGAUUGUGAAAGUUAUUUAGCUCUUUUGUUAGACUUGUAGGGAGAGUGAAGUCUAC